This 73-nucleotide transfer RNA is filed under the name Chloroflexota bacterium. RNAcentral describes it as "Chloroflexi bacterium tRNA-Ser". It matches the Rfam family "tRNA". Rfam says of the family: Transfer RNA (tRNA) molecules are approximately 80 nucleotides in length. The record is from RNAcentral. Lineage: Bacteria; Bacillati; Chloroflexota.
GGCCGGGUAGCUCAGUGGACAGAGCGGCGAGCUGCUAACUCGACGGUCGCGGGUUCGAGUCCCGCCCCGGCCG